GCGGUCCGCGCUCAUUGGUGAUUCAUAAUAACUUGUCGAAUCGCACGGCGUUGUGCUGGCGAUGCUUCAUUCAAAUAUCUGCCCUAUCAACUUUCGAUGGUAGGAUAGUGGCCUACCAUGGUUUCUACGGGUAACGGGGAAUAAGGGUUCGAUUCCGGAGAGGGAGCCUGAGAAACGGCUACCACAUCCAAGGAAGGCAGCAGGCGCGCAAAUUACCCAAUCCCGACACGGGGAGGUAGUGACAAUAAAUAACAAUAUAGGGCCCUUUCGGGUCUUAUGAUUGGAAUGAGAACAAUUUAAAUCCCUUAACGAGGAACAAUUGGAGGGCAAGUCUGGUGCCAGCAGCCGCGGUAAUUCCAGCUCCAAUAGCGUAUAUUAAAGUUGUUGCAGUUAAAAAGCUCGUAGUUGAACUUCAGAGCUGGCCGGACGGUCUGCCUUCACGGUAUGUACUGUCUUCGGCUGGUUCUUACCUCUUGGUGAACCAUGAUGCCCUUUACUGGGUGUGGUGGGGAACCAGGACUUUUACCUUGAGAAAAUUAGAGUGUUCAAAGCAGGCAUAUGCCCGAAUACAUUAGCAUGGAAUAAUAAAAUAGGACGUGCGGUUCUAUUUUGUUGGUUUCUAGAGUCGCCGUAAUGAUUAAUAGGGAUAGUUGGGGGCAUUAGUAUUCAGUUGCUAGAGGUGAAAUUCUUGGAUUUACUGAAGACUAACUACUGCGAAAGCAUUUGCCAAGGAUGUUUUCAUUAAUCAAGAACGAAGGUUAGGGGAUCGAAAACGAUCAGAUACCGUUGUAGUCUUAACAGUAAACUAUGCCGACUAGGGAU
RNAcentral lists this ribosomal RNA (822 nucleotides) under Hydnellum bomiense. Its description in RNAcentral is "SSU rRNA". It matches the Rfam family "Eukaryotic small subunit ribosomal RNA", at positions 229 to 1053 of the family's 1831-position model. The record is from RNAcentral. Lineage: Eukaryota; Fungi; Basidiomycota; Agaricomycetes; Thelephorales; Thelephoraceae.